RNAcentral lists this ribosomal RNA (393 nucleotides) under uncultured bacterium. RNAcentral's name for it is "bacterial SSU rRNA". It matches the Rfam family "Bacterial small subunit ribosomal RNA", at positions 355 to 746 of the family's 1533-position model. The record is from RNAcentral.
UAAGGAAUAUUGGUCAAUGGACGCAAGUCUGAACCAGCCAUGCCGCGUGAAGGCUGAAGGUCCUCUGGAUUGUAAACUUCUUUUAUCUGGGACGAAAACGGGAUUUUUAUCUCAAUUGACGGUACCAGAGGAAUAAGCACCGGCUAACUCCGUGCCAGCAGCCGCGGUAAUACGGAGGGUGCGAGCGUUAUCCGGAUUUACUGGGUUUCAAGGGUGCGUAGGUGGGCUUAUAAGUCAGUGGUGAAAUCUCCGAGCUUAACUUGGAAACUGCCGUUGAUACUAUAUGUCGUGAAUUAUCUGGAGGUAAGCGGAAUAUGUCAGGUAGCGGUGAAAUGCGUAGAUAUGACAUAGAACACCAAUUGCGAAGGCAGCUUACUACAUAUAAAUUGACGC